This 2279-nucleotide long non-coding RNA is filed under the name Rattus norvegicus (Norway rat). Its description in RNAcentral is "long non-coding RNA NONRATT015756". The record is from RNAcentral. Lineage: Eukaryota; Metazoa; Chordata; Mammalia; Rodentia; Muridae.
CGCGAAUCGAUAGUGCCCGUUAUGAACAAGAUGGUGCUCUGGUCCUGGACUCUUUGUUUGACAAACUGCUUGGCCGGCUGUAGUGAAAUAAUACGAUAUCAUUUCAUUUUAACUUUCAGCCAGAAAAAUCCUCAUGGUUUGGUGACUUGUGUGUAAAGUGUCCUGAUCUUACACGUUUAGAAGAGUCGCCUUUGCCAGUCAGGAUGCUUAACCUCUGGACCUAAGGAAGGUGUGCAGCAGUUCGGAAAGAGCUUGUGUUUGAGGGGAAUGUCCCAGGAAGCAGCUCUUAAGCCUUCCUUAUGGCCUUUGAGACCCCGUCGGAAAACGGGGUAUUGAGGCAGAGUGACCCCAAGUACUUUUGAUUCACUCCACACAGACCUGGCUCAGAGCACAGACGCAGGAUGACACUCUCACUGGUUGGCUAAUGAUGACAGAGCUUCUUUUAGGGACAGCAUGGAGAUGAGGGAGUAUGUGAAAAUGUACUGGAGAUAAUGGUUUCUUGGAGGAACUUGAGUCCCCGAGACUCUUGCCUACCUGUUAAGUGCCUUUACUCUCAGAACGUUGCCGAAGUGUGAGGCUUGGCACCUGUUACAUUUCCAAACUUCCCGAGUUUCUCGCUAGGUUACACUCCUAAACCUUAUCGGUGAGCGGCAUGGCCUUUUCUUUAACUUGAUUUAAGGUGAGAAGAGACGAAAUGUUCCCCGCUCUCCUGGAAACAGCUGUCUCAAAUAAGGUGGCAGAAUUUAAUUACUCAGCAUCCACCGUGCUUCAGCCCCUUUUUAUUAGAUCCUCUCCUUACGUUAGGUACAGUGCUCAGAUGCUGAAACAGCAGGGAGUCCGGGGAGCUCAUGGGCCACACAGGAAAUGACUAAGAGUGCCAUUCCUCGACCUGCCAACCUAACAUGCAAGGGCACAAGGCUUUGUAUCGCUGUCCUCUUCGUCUGUAACACACGCUGUGCACUUUUAUCCAAAACCUCUUAAGAAGCUGUCAGUGAACAUUCUGUCUUCCUGUUGGCAUGGAUCAUUUACCUUGCUGAUAGCUUUAAGAACACCUUACAUAAGGAGUCCCAUCUUCCGUGACAUAGGUCAUGCAACCAGAGAGAGAGAGAGAGAGAGAGAGAGAGAGAGAGAUCAGAGUUCUCGGACCAUUCAACUGCAGAUUUGGACUUUCUGCCCUCUCACAGAGAGCAAAUAAGGAAGUAUUAAAGCUUACCUCACCUCUCCACGUUGUUAUCAAAAGCCUGUGUAGACAUGUCUUGAAUGUCAUUGAAAGUGAUGUAAAUAGCUGAAAAAUAGAAAUUUCUAUUACAGUUUAAGAACUCUAAUGAACAGUCACUCGCCACUGUUGACGAUCUAUUUGUAUUCUUAUGCCUUUUCAAUAUAUCUGAACAAAUAUAUAGUUUCUGCCACUAUUUUUAUACUAGCAUCAAAGAGUUACUAUGUAAAUUAUGUUUUGCUGUGAAGUCAUCCAAAAACGACUGAAAUGUUGGUUUCUUUCCUUUCCUCACCCCACAUGAUAAACCAUUUCCAGUGAUCCUUCUUCGAGGGUGUCAUUCUCCAGAAGCACACACCCACCUGGCCCCGGGUCCCUGUGGAGUCAGACCUGGUCAGGGAAGGGGAGAACUCACCACUUUGCUGGUUCUCAUUUUGCAGUGCUGUAAAAAUAAAGGGAAUGAACGAGAAUGCAUGUGGUGUGAUCAUUAGGGGACCUGGAGCUCUGAGGCUGAGGGCUUUACACUGGGGAAGCUGGUUCAGCUGGUCUGAGAGAAUCUUACAUGUGGCAUGACCACUAGUCAGUACUUACAUAGACUCUUCAAUACCAGUCUUUUUCCUUAUCGGUCAUGUUUCAUGCUACCAAUUUGAGAGUGGUGUUUCCCACCUUAACGGCGCUAUGGAGAGGUGUGGUAUUAACAACCUGGUGUCCACAGGGAGCUAAAACUUAGGUGCUGCCUUCUUGCCAAAUGGCUUGAACUUGAGUCAAGUCCAGAUGGGUGGCUUCACAGCCAAUGUUAAGACUACGCCUUGCUCUUUUUGAAUAUGGUGUUUUAAAAGCCCCACAUCCUGUCUUAUUAGAUUGAAUAUACUGCCUGGUAGCUUCAUAAACAACAUUGUUUUUCUCAGACAGUUUGGUUCUGUGAGCAUCAUUCCUUGAUUUAGUUCUGCUGAUAAAGGGUUAAUGUAAUGCCUCAAGGGACUCGCUGCUGUUUCUGGUAUAAAAGACAACAGGGUAUAGAUAUUGUGUGUGUGUGUGUGUGUGUGUGUGUGUGUGUGUGUGUGUG